RNAcentral lists this non-coding RNA (24 nucleotides) under Arabidopsis thaliana (thale cress). The record is from RNAcentral. Lineage: Eukaryota; Viridiplantae; Streptophyta; Magnoliopsida; Brassicales; Brassicaceae.
AAAGUCAUAUACACAUCACGCCUU